This 496-nucleotide unclassified non-coding RNA is filed under the name Chamelea gallina. RNAcentral describes it as "sequence contains 5.8S rRNA gene, ITS2 and 28S rRNA gene". The stretch from base 1 to 125 matches the Rfam family "5.8S ribosomal RNA", at positions 30 to 154 of the family's 154-position model. Lineage: Eukaryota; Metazoa; Mollusca; Bivalvia; Venerida; Veneridae. The record is from RNAcentral.
GCAUCGAUGAAGAGCGCAGCCAGCUGCGUGAAUUAAUGUGAAUUGCAGGACACACUGAACAUCGACACCUUGAACGCACAUUGCGGCUCUGGCUCACUGCCAGAGCCACGCCUGUCCGAGGGUCGGCGAACAAGUCAUCGCCGUAGACCGAUUAGCUUCGGUCUCGGCGCGUUGGCGAGUCGCGCGGGCACAACGUCCCGCUCGUCCGCCGUAGACUUCAGCCUCUCUCUUGGUGGCCAUGCGAAGUGGCGCAGGGACAGGGCUCGAACGGGCCUUCUGUUUAGCGCACGUCUGCGACGGAAACGAAGCGGACGACCUUCGCCUUUGGCAGCCCCUGGCCCCUAUCAAAAUAUUGAUACGGGGGAGGGAGAGCGCGGCUUCACAGGCCGCGAACAGUAGACACGCUCCCUGGUGAGUAGUCUCGCAUAUCCGACCUCGGAUCAGACGGGGAUACCCGCUGAAUUUAAGCAUAUCAGUAAGCGGAGGAAAAGAAACU